This is a long non-coding RNA of Heterocephalus glaber (naked mole-rat), 1605 nucleotides long. NCBI's taxonomy places the organism in Eukaryota, Metazoa, Chordata, Mammalia, Rodentia, Bathyergidae. The record is from Ensembl.
GAGCUGCUGUCCCACCCCUAAGCCGAGGAAGCCCCUCUGCUUCUUGGCCUCCACCAGCUGAGUCUGAGGACUGCAUGCCCUCCUUGCCCGGUGCUGGACGGCCGGCUGAAAAAUCUAGUAGUGGGAAGAAACUCAAACAGAACAUCCCUGAACUAGAAGUUGGAGGGAAAAUAAAACAGCUCAGGACGUUUAUUCGCUGGGUUGGUAUUUUUUCCACUUGAUUGGCUAAGAAAUGAUACAAACUACCCUUCAACUUGGCUUUGGUUCUGAUUUCGUAUGUGAUGCGUUUUACUUAGCUGUGCCUCACAAUUAGACGCACACUGUACUUUUAUUGUCUGGCAAAUCUGCCUUGACUCCACCAGCAAGUUCUAAAGUCACUGCUCUUAAAAAAUCACAAGGCUCGGGAAAAAAAGGUAUUAGAAAUAGAUUUUAUGGUAUUCAGUUUUGUCCCUAUUUAAUUCCAACCACUACACGGCAGAAAAGGUAACCAAUAUUCAGGGAAGGGUUGAUUGGAAAUGUUUCAGCCCUGUGGAUUGAUUUCAUUUAAUCUUUGAUUAUCUGCAUCCAUAACAGUUUUCACGGUUGGCUGUUGCACUUUAAAGUUUUAAAGGCCAUCUUUUGUAGCCUCAAAACUCAAAAGCAAAUUAGUGUUAAACACUAAGAUUCUAUUUUUAGAUAAAAUUGUUACUUCUUACUUAUCUUUCCCUCUGCUAACUUUCCUUUUGUAAACUGUGUCAGAUCCACAGGGCCCGUUGGCCAGAAGACCAGGCUAUAUUUUAGGCAUGUCCCUCCCUCUUUGAUUCAAGUACACCUAGCAACUUUUAGACAGUGGGUGGCCAGCCUUAAAUUGACCCCAAAUUUCUUUAUUUGCAAGCCCUAAUGGCCAAACUGUAUGAACAGAGAUGCAUUACCCAAUUCAAAUUGUUAGAUAUUAGCAAACAGGCGAAUCGCAGUGGUGUGGAAACCCAUUCUCUUCACUAUUCCCCAGUGUCACUUACAGUAUUUAAAGAACAGUUUAGUUCAAUCUCUGCUCAGCUUCAAGCCAGUGCCAUCUCACCAGCGAAGUCCCCAGCUACGGCCGCAGCUGGCCAGGGUCCUGCUCGAUAUCUGAGGCACUGCCCUCUGCUGGAAGAGCUUUGGUUUCUAAAUCCUGCAAUUCCCCAUAGGUCAGGGCUUCCUCCGCAGUGCUGUUGCCAGAUUUGGAGUUGUGCUGCUCAUCUCCUGUCUCCAGGCUGCCUAGUGGAAUCUCCAGCCCGCCACUAGCCAUGCUUGGAACUGAGUCUGAAAAUUCCUCUUCUGAUCUAACCAGAGUCAAGCAAUCAUAUGCUGGGGAUCAAACCCAGGGGUUUACACAUGUUAGGCAAGUGGUCUACCACUGAGCUACAUCCUCGGCCCCUCCAAAGUAACUGCUGCUCAGCCAUCAUUUUCAAGAACACAAUUAAUUUUUACCAUGGUGUAAAGAAAGCUUAGGGUAUAAACUAUACGCAAGUUUUAGAACAAUAAAAAUAUAAUGCGUGCCCUGGAUUGUUAAAAGAAGACACAACACACUUCCUUGCUGUGACAGUCUCAGUGUAGGAGAAGCUGGGUUGCUGUUGUUGAAAGUAG